This is a long non-coding RNA of Cavia porcellus (domestic guinea pig), 1796 nucleotides long. RefSeq lists it as uncharacterized. The transcript is spliced from 8 exons. The record is from RefSeq and is a predicted model, not a curated record. Lineage: Eukaryota; Metazoa; Chordata; Mammalia; Rodentia; Caviidae.
CACUCCGGCGCCACCGUCAGAAGUGCGGUUGGGUUUAAGUUGCCAUUCUUUCGACGAUUUCGUAGACUUUGGCUCUCCCUGCUGUCUGCUCUGCCUUCUCACUAGUUUUGAUUUCGUGAUUGCUGUUCUUUGGAAUCUAGCAAGUUUAGGUCUUGUGAAACAAUUAAUCGCCUCUGCUUUUCCUUUUCUGCCAUAGGAUCUCGCUCCAUAGCCCAGGCUGACCUCGAAUUCACAGGAUCCUCCUGCCGCAGCCUCCCAGGUCCUGGAAUUACAGCCUAAAAAUUUAGUUACUCAGCUGAGUUGGUGUUCUCAUCAGGAACCCAGCAGUCAAAACAAAGCACUGAAUUGAAUCCUGCUGGUUGCUGGAAUUUAGCGGUCCUGGAAGCCAGCUGGCACAGGAUGCACAAAGAAUGCCUCGUUCUAAACGAUCAAGGUUCCAGAAUGUAGACUACUUUCUGUGAAGGCCAUCUUAAUGAAAAAAAGAAGCUUGAACUAGACCAGUAGAAAUUACUCAGCCUAUUGACUUCAAACCUACUGGAGGCCGUCUUAUAAUCAGAAGAUUUUGUGGGAGACGUUUCUCUUCUCCAUCUACAAAGAGGUAAGAUCACCAUUAUUUCUCUGGGGUAACAGCAAUCUCCAUGAAUCUCUACCUCCAACUGGUCUUCUGCUGCAUCUGUUCUUCAUAGUGGAGUCAUGAAGUGCUAUGGAAAAAGUGUGCUGUUUCGUGGUGAGGGAACAUAUUAUCCACUGGUCUACCUGGAAACUGCAUUCUGGCUGUGAGCUCUUAAUUUGGAAUGCUGCUACCAGUUCAGUUUCUAUGAGUUUGCAUGAGCAGCAUCUGAAUGAAUCUGAUCAGCCUGAUUCAUCAGAGAGGAGACUUCUCCACUAGAUAAGAGGUGUAGAAGACCCACUCUAGAGCAGCUCAUUGCCUGGAGGAUAUAAAGAGGAAAUGAGGAAGGGCAAAUCUGCUUCAGUUCUUCAGAGGAGCUCCACUCUUUGCUUUCAACUUGGACAUCAUCUCCUGUCUUCCAUCGCGGAUUCUUCAGCUUCCCUCUCAGAUCCUUCAGCCUUCUGGUGUAGACUCGUCAGCCUUCCAUUGCAGACCCAUUGGCUUCCUGAUACAGACUCACACGGAGACUGUGGUGUGCACCAGACCUUGGAUUGAAAGCUUCUCCAGUGUGCAAAUGUUCUUUGCGUGUUUCCCACCCAACUCUGUGGCUCAAAAUUGUAAUUUCAUCCAAUCUCAUAAUUUCUUAUACAUUUGUAUAUCUUGUGUUAUGUCUGUUUCUCUAGUAGAACACUGACUAAUGUAGCCUUCAUGUCCUCAUCUAAAAACAGGGAUAAUAAGCUCUAAUUUAUGUGAUAAAUUUUUAAAUGGUCAUGGGGCAUACAAAAGAUUCUUAAAGGGCUGGUGUCUGCAGUGCUGUCCAGUACAACCGUCAGUAGCCAUGUGUGGCUAUUGAACAUUUCAAGUAUGAUCAGUGUGAUUGGGGAAUUCAAUUUAAUUUAAUUUGGAUUUUUAAAUCUGAAAUUAGAUUCAGUUAUUGGAAAACUUAUUAGUUUCUUUGGUUCAACUUAAAUAUGAAACAACUAUAAAUGUUAUGAAAUCUAAAUGUAGGUAAAAUUAGUUUUGAUCAAAAUUUUGAUUUUGAGUUGCAACAUGCUCAACUGUAAAAUGCACUGAGUUUCAAAGACAGUUUAAAAAUUGUAAAACAUUGAAAAAUGUUGUAUUGAAUAGAUAUGUAAGUUAUAAUAUUUUAGCUGUUUUGAAUUAAAUAAACUAUAUAUUAAAAUGA